Molecule: long non-coding RNA, 656 nt
Filed under: Cyanistes caeruleus (blue tit)
Lineage: Eukaryota; Metazoa; Chordata; Aves; Passeriformes; Paridae
Description: lncRNA (ENSCCEG00000013991.1)
Source: RNAcentral
AUGGAAAGCGGGGCCUGUGGCUCAGGCCCGAGCCGCGGCGGCGGCGCUGCAGUCUCGGCGCUGGGCAGUAGAGGGCGCCGCUCGGUUGUGCUGCCNNNNNNNNNNNNNNNNNNNNGGGGCUCCCGGCGGGCCCGGGCCUGGGGCUAUGGCGGUGUGGUCGCUCCCUGCCCUCCGCAGCCCUCGGGCCGCCACGGGCUGGUGCUCCCUUCCAUGGGGCAGCGACCACUGGGAAUAAAGAACAAAGCCCUCUGCCUCCGGCGUCGGUAUUGCUUGUGCGCCUCCAACCUGUGCCUAGAGUCUGUUCCAGCGCUUGGGUCGGUGUUGGAAAACAACGAGCUGAGGCAGGCUGGACUCCAGAAUCACCUAGAUGACAUUACUACACUUGGAAGAUUUGCUGGAGGUCAUGAGGGGUAUGUGCAAGCAUCAGUUAGACUAGGCUGGAAGAAAAUGUCCAAAUGUCUCUACAAAGGAACAGGCACACCUUCUUUGAAGGAACACUCCAUGGACUCAGGAUUUCCUUCCUCCCUUAAAAGGACUCAAGAUUCCCUUCCUCCCUCUCCUGUCCUGAGAAAUUAAUGUUUACUGUGAGCUGUUUUUCUGGGGGCCAAAGAUGCAUUUUCUUGAUCUCUUUGAUUUGCCAACUACGAGGGUAGAAA